AGUGAACGCUGGCGGUAGGCCUAACACAUGCAAGUCGAACGGCAGCACAGUAAGAGCUUGCUCUUACGGGUGGCGAGUGGCGGACGAGUGAGGAAUACAUCGGAAUCUACUUUUUCGUGGAGGAUAACGUAGGGAAACUUACGCUAAUACCGCAUACGACCUACGGGUGAAAGCAGGGGAUCUUCGGACCUUGCGCGAUUGAAUGAGCCGAUGUCGGAUUAGCUAGUUGGCGGGGUAAAGGCCCACCAAGGCGACGAUCCGUAGCUGGUCUGAGAGGAUGAUCAGCCACACUGGAACUGAGACACGGUCCAGACUCCUACGGGAGGCAGCAGUGGGGAAUAUUGGACAAUGGGCGCAAGCCUGAUCCAGCCAUACCGCGUGGGUGAAGAAGGCCUUCGGGUUGUAAAGCCCUUUUGUUGGGAAAGAAAAGCAGCAGGUUAAUACCCCGCUGUUCUGACGGUACCCAAAGAAUAAGCACCGGCUAACUUCGUG
This 492-nucleotide ribosomal RNA is filed under the name uncultured bacterium. RNAcentral describes it as "partial 16S ribosomal RNA". It matches the Rfam family "Bacterial small subunit ribosomal RNA", at positions 29 to 507 of the family's 1533-position model. The record is from RNAcentral.